This 253-nucleotide ribosomal RNA is filed under the name uncultured bacterium. RNAcentral's name for it is "partial 16S ribosomal RNA". It matches the Rfam family "Bacterial small subunit ribosomal RNA", at positions 524 to 776 of the family's 1533-position model. The record is from RNAcentral.
UACGGGGGGGGCAAGCGUUGUUCGGAAUUACUGGGCGUAAAGGGCUCGUAGGUGGCCCCAUAAGUCAGACGUGAAAUCCCCAGGCUCAACCUGGGAACUGCGUCCGAUACUGGAUGGCUUGAAUCCGGGAGAGGGAUGCAGAAUUCCAGGUGUAGCGGUGAAAUGCGUAGAUAUCUGGAGGAACACCUGUGGCGAAGGCGGCCAUCUGGACGAUAACUGACGCUGAGACGCGAAAGCGUGGGUAGCAAACAGG